CUGCGAGAUGAAGCCGCGKGAAAAGCUCAAAUUUAAAAUCUGGCAGUCUCUGGCUGUCCGAGUUGUAAUCUAGAGAAGUGUUAUCCGCGCUGGACCAUGUACAAGUCUCCUGGAACGGAGCGUCAUAGAGGGUGAGAAUCCCGUCUUUGACAUGGACUACCAGGGCUUUGUGAUGCGCUCUCAAAGAGUCGAGUUGUUUGGGAAUGCAGCUCAAAAUGGGUGGUAAAUUCCAUCUAAAGCUAAAUAUUGGCGAGAGACCGAUAGCGAACAAGUACCGUGAGGGAAAGAUGAAAAGAACUUUGGAAAGAGAGUUAAACAGUACGUGAAAUUGUUGAAAGGGAAACGCUUGAAGUCAGUCGCAUUGGCCAGGGAUCAACCUUACAUUUGUUGGGUGUACUUUCUGGUUAAUGGGUCAGCAUCAAUUUUGACUGUUGGAAAAAGGUCAGGGGAAUGUGGCAUCUUCGGAUGUGUUAUAGCCCUUGGUUGUAUACAGCAGUUGGGAUUGAGGAACUCAGCACGCCGCAAGGCCGGGUUUUUACCACGUACGUGCUUAGGAUGCUGGCAUAAUGGCUUUAAUCGACCCGUCUUGAAACACGGACCAAGGAGUCUAACAUGCCUGCGAGUGUUUUGGGUGGAAAACCCAUGGCGCGUAAUGAAAGUGAAAGUUGAGAUCUCUGUCGUGGAGAGCAUCGACGCCCGGACCAGACCUUUUGUGACGGUCCCGCGGUAGAGCAUGUAUGUUUGGGACCCGAAAAGAUGGUGAACUAUGCCUGGAAUAGGGUGGAAGCCAGAGGAAACUCUGGUGGAGGCUCGUAGCGAUUCUGACGUGCAAAUCSRACUCGUCGAAUUUGGGUUAUAGGGGCGA
This 865-nucleotide ribosomal RNA is filed under the name Melanoleuca kashmirensis. RNAcentral describes it as "Melanoleuca sp. ZU-2019a partial large subunit ribosomal RNA". It matches the Rfam family "Eukaryotic large subunit ribosomal RNA", at positions 87 to 926 of the family's 3401-position model. Lineage: Eukaryota; Fungi; Basidiomycota; Agaricomycetes; Agaricales; Pluteaceae. The record is from RNAcentral.